AUACGUAGGUGGCAAGCGUUGUCCGGAUUUACUGGGUGUAAAGGGCGUGUAGCCGGGCCUUUAAGUCAGAUGUGAAAUCCGCGGGCUUAACCCGCGAACUGCAUUUGAAACUGAGGGUCUUGAGUAUCGGAGAGGUAAUCGGAAUUCCUAGUGUAGCGGUGAAAUGCGUAGAUAUUAGGAAGAACACCAGUGGCGAAGGCGGAUUACUGGACGACAACUGACGGUGAGGCGCGAAAGCGUGGGGAGC
Molecule: ribosomal RNA, 247 nt
Filed under: uncultured bacterium
Lineage: Bacteria
Description: partial 16S ribosomal RNA
Rfam family: Bacterial small subunit ribosomal RNA
Source: RNAcentral